GGAACUCUAGGGAGACCGCCGGUGAUAAACCGGAGGAAGGUGGGGACGGCGUCAAGUCAUCAUGGCCCUUAUGACCAGGGCUACACACGUGCUACAAUGGUCGGUACAGAGGGCAGCCAAGCCGUGAGGUGGAGCUAAUCCCACAAAGCCGAUCGUAGUCCGGAUCGGAGUCUGCAACUCGACUCCGUGAAGUCGGAAUCGCUAGUAAUCGCGGAUCAGAAUGCCGCGGUGAAUACGUUCCCGGGCCUU
Molecule: ribosomal RNA, 249 nt
Filed under: uncultured Methylocaldum sp.
Lineage: Bacteria; Pseudomonadati; Pseudomonadota; Gammaproteobacteria; Methylococcales; Methylococcaceae
Description: partial 16S ribosomal RNA
Rfam family: Bacterial small subunit ribosomal RNA
Source: RNAcentral